CAAAGCUGCUCACGACCAGCAUAUAACCUGCAUCUGUGAGCACAGGCGUGGUCAUGUACGGUAGAGGUAUAUAGCUUUUGUGUUCUUACUGUCUCCUCCAGCCCUGAUGGCAGUUACGUGGCAGCAGGCUCAGCUGACGGCUCUCUUUAUGUAUGGAGUGUGCUCACGGGGAAAGUAGAGAAGGUUCUCUCCAAGCAGCACAGCUCUUCUAUCAAUGCGGUGGCGUGGGCCCCCUCUGGCUUACAUGUUGUCAGUGUGGACAAAGGAAGCAGAGCUGUGCUAUGGGCACAGCCUUGAUGCCACUCCCUGAGGAGCAGCGUGGGACCCCGCAGCCCAUUUUGGAGAAUGAUGUGUCCUCCCAGAGAAGAGCUGAAGCUAUAUGGCACCCACCGUACCUUUCCUAAGAACUUUGACUUAAGGUCUCUAAUGGGUGAGAAGAACCAACACAGAACCAAACUGACUCGCACGUCCCUAGCAGGGGUUCCGGUUCUUGUCGCAUGUGGGUGGGAAACACUACUAACUCUGACCUUCCAUACCUCAUGGGGAGCACAGGGUCCCUGCUGGGUCUCCCCACUGGACACAGUGCCAAGGACAGCCCCACACAUCGGGUAUUGGGUCCCCUGUGCUUUUCCCGUCUUUCCAAAGUCUGUUGUAGCCUGAUGCACACCCCUUUUCUGUGGGGUCACUUACCCAGGGGGCUCACUGAAGGCAUUGGGUUAGUGGAAAC
Molecule: long non-coding RNA, 727 nt
Filed under: Rattus norvegicus (Norway rat)
Lineage: Eukaryota; Metazoa; Chordata; Mammalia; Rodentia; Muridae
Description: long non-coding RNA NONRATT029637
Source: RNAcentral